This 494-nucleotide ribosomal RNA is filed under the name uncultured bacterium. Its description in RNAcentral is "partial 16S ribosomal RNA". It matches the Rfam family "Bacterial small subunit ribosomal RNA", at positions 28 to 507 of the family's 1533-position model. The record is from RNAcentral.
GACGAACGCUGGCGGCGUGCUUAACACAUGCAAGUCGAACGGUGAAGCGCCUUCCUUUUUGGUGGGUGUGGAUGAGUGGCGAACGGGUGAGUAACACGUGAGUAACCUGCCCCCUUCUUCUGGAUAACCGCAUGAAAGUGUGGCUAAUACGGGAUAUUCUGGGUCUGUCGCAUGAUGGGUCUGGGAAAGAUAUUGUUUCGGUGGGGGAUGGGCUCGCGGCCUAUCAGCUUGUUGGUGGGGUGAUGGCCUACCAAGGCGGUGACGGGUAGCCGGCCUGAGAGGGUGGACGGUCCCACUGGGACUGGGACACGGCCCAGACUCCUGCGGGAGGCAGCAGGGGGGAAUAUUGCACAAUGGGCGCAAGCCUGAUGCAGCGACGCCGCGUGAGGGAUGGAGGCCUUCGGGUUGUGAACCUCUUUCGCCAGUGAAGCAGGCCUGCCUCGUUUGUGGGUGGGUUGACGGUAGCUGGAUAAGAAGCGCCGGCUAACUACGUG